RNAcentral lists this ribosomal RNA (560 nucleotides) under Acrophialophora nainiana. RNAcentral's name for it is "partial 28S ribosomal RNA". It matches the Rfam family "Eukaryotic large subunit ribosomal RNA", at positions 38 to 625 of the family's 3401-position model. The record is from RNAcentral. Lineage: Eukaryota; Fungi; Ascomycota; Sordariomycetes; Sordariales; Chaetomiaceae.
GCAUAUCAAUAAGCGGAGGAAAAGAAACCAACAGGGAUUGCCCUAGUAACGGCGAGUGAAGCGGCAACAGCUCAAAUUUGAAAUCUGGCUUCGGCCCGAGUUGUAAUUUGCAGAGGAAGCUUUAGGCGCGGCACCUCCUGAGUCCCCUGGAACGGGGCGCCACAGAGGGUGAGAGCCCCGUAUAGUUGGAUGCCUAGCCUGUGUAAAGCUCCUUCGACGAGUCGAGUAGUUUGGGAAUGCUGCUCAAAAUGGGAGGUAAAUUUCUUCUAAAGCUAAAUACCGGCCAGAGACCGAUAGCGCACAAGUAGAGUGAUCGAAAGAUGAAAAGCACUUUGAAAAGAGGGUUAAAUAGCACGUGAAAUUGUUGAAAGGGAAGCGCUUGUGACCAGACUUGCGCCGGGCUGAUCAUCCGGUGUUCUCACCGGUGCACUCUGCCCGGCUCAGGCCAGCAUCGGUUCUCGCGGGGGGAUAAAGGCCCUGGGAACGUAGCUCCUCCGGGAGUGUUAUAGCCCGGGGCGGAAUGCCCUCGCGGGGACCGAGGUUCGCGCUCUGCAAGGAUG